GUGAGGAAUAUUGGUCAAUGGGCGGGAGCCUGAACCAGCCAAGUCGCGUGAAGGAAGAAGGAUCUAUGGUUCGUAAACUUCUUUUGCAGGGGAAUAAAGUGCAGGACGUGUCCUGUUUUGUAUGUACCCUGAGAAUAAGGAUCAGCUAACUCCGUGCCAGCAGCCGCGGUAAUACGGAGGAUCCGAGCGUUAUCCGGAUUUAUUGGGUUUAAAGGGUGCGUAGGUGGUUUGAUAAGUCAGCGGUGAAAGUUUGCAGCUUAACUGUAAAAAUGCCGUUGAAACUGUCGGACUUGAGUGUAAAUGAGGUAGGCGGAAUGCGUGGUGUAGCGGUGAAAUGCAUAGAUAUCACGCAGAACUCCGAUUGCGAAGGCAGCUUACUAAGCUACAACUGACACUGAAGCACGAAAGCGUGGGGAUCAAACAGGAUUAGAUACCCUGGUAGUCC
RNAcentral lists this ribosomal RNA (445 nucleotides) under uncultured bacterium. RNAcentral's name for it is "partial 16S ribosomal RNA". It matches the Rfam family "Bacterial small subunit ribosomal RNA", at positions 354 to 796 of the family's 1533-position model. The record is from RNAcentral.